AAGUCGUAACAAGGUUUCCGUAGGUGAACCUGCGGAAGGAUCAUUAAAGAAAUAAUCUCGAGGGCCUUCGGAAAGGAGAGAGGGUUGUAGCUGGCGCAAGCAACGUGCACGCCCUCUUUCUCGACCUGGGUCCUUAUGGGCGCGGGGCGACCCGCGUCUUCAUAAGCCCCUUCGUGUAGAAAGUCCAUGAAUGUUUUUACCAUCAUCGACUCGCGACUUCUAGGAGACGCGAUUCUUUGAGACAAAAGUUUAUUACAACUUUCAGCAAUGGAUCUCUUGGCUCUC
Molecule: unclassified non-coding RNA, 285 nt
Filed under: Suillus variegatus
Lineage: Eukaryota; Fungi; Basidiomycota; Agaricomycetes; Boletales; Suillaceae
Description: partial internal transcribed spacer region
Rfam family: Eukaryotic small subunit ribosomal RNA (bases 1-46)
Source: RNAcentral